Molecule: long non-coding RNA, 473 nt
Organism: Gasterosteus aculeatus aculeatus (three-spined stickleback)
Lineage: Eukaryota; Metazoa; Chordata; Actinopteri; Perciformes; Gasterosteidae
Source: Ensembl
AGCAGCCAAACACACCACUCCCUUCACACGCUACGUGGAGCACAUCAACUACCGGCUGGCCUCCUGUCACUUCUUCUCCUGCUGUCACCUUUCCGUAGCUUUUCACUCCCAACUAAAGUGCUGACUCAGAGCUGUAACUGUCUGCAGGCCAUGUCCAUCUCUGAGACCUGGUAUGCCGUUAAAGACCACGGCACCAACUACUGCAACAUCUACGAGCUCAUCCAAGAAAUCCCGGCGUUUCUGAGGCGUCCCCGACUCCAUUCUGCCCGUCAAAGACGCCGGAGAAGACGCGGUAAACGCGGAGGCCUCCGGGUCAGGCUGGAGGCCGAUCUUAGGUCUGCUCGUGUGGUGGAUUAUGGCACUAAGCGACACUUUCUGGAUGUUUCCCCUGCCCUGCGACUGCGACCGAGGAGGAUUAGAACUCCAUGGAUCCGGCCGGUGCUCUGACAGCGUCAGCUGUUCGCCGGACUCCG